GGAGCACGCCGCGUGAGUGAUGAAGGUUUUCGGAUCGUAAAGCUCUGUUGUUAGGGAAGAACAAGUGCGAGAGUAACUGCUCGCACCUUGACGGUACCUAACCAGAAAGCCACGGCUAACUACGUGCCAGCAGCCGCGGUAAUACGUAGGUGGCAAGCGUUGUCCGGAAUUAUUGGGCGUAAAGGGCUCGCAGGCGGUUUCUUAAGUCUGAUGUGAAAGCCCCCGGCUCAACCGGGGAGGGUCAUUGGAAACUGGGAAACUUGAGUGCAGAAGAGGAGAGUGGAAUUCCACGUGUAGCGGUGAAAUGCGUAGAGAUGUGGAGGAACACCAGUGGCGAAGGCGACUCUCUGGUCUGUAACUGACGCUGAGGAGCGAAAGCGUGGGGAGCGAACAGGAUUAGAUACCCUGGUAGUCCACGCCGUAAACGAUGAGUGCUAAGUGUUAGGGGGUUUCCGCCCCUUAGUGCUGCAGCUAACGCAUUAAGCACUCCGCCCUGGGGAGA
Molecule: ribosomal RNA, 502 nt
Filed under: Bacillus sp. 'cactus'
Lineage: Bacteria; Bacillati; Bacillota; Bacilli; Caryophanales; Bacillaceae
Description: bacterial SSU rRNA
Rfam family: Bacterial small subunit ribosomal RNA
Source: RNAcentral